GGAAUUGUUCGCAAUGGGCGCAAGCCUGACGACGCAACGCCGCGUGGAGGAUGAAGAUCUUCGGGUCGUAAACUCCUUUCGAUCGAGACGAAUGGCCUCCGGGUGAACAAUCCGGAGGAGUGACGGUACCGAGAGAAGAAGCCCCGGCUAACGCCGGGCCAGCAGCCGCGGUAAUACGGGGGGGGCAAGCGUUGUUCGGAAUUACUGGGCGUAAAGGGCUCGUAGGCGGCCAACUAAGUCAGACGUGAAGUCCCUCGGCUCAACCGGGGAACUGCGUCUGAGACUGGAUGGCUCGAGUCCGGGAGAGGGAUGCAGAAUUCCAGGUGUAGCGGUGAAAUGCGUAGAUAUCUGGAGGAAUACCGGUGGCGAAGGCGGCAUCCUGGACCGGCAUUGACGCUGAUGAGCGAAAGCCAGGGGAGCAAA
Molecule: ribosomal RNA, 423 nt
Filed under: uncultured bacterium
Lineage: Bacteria
Description: bacterial SSU rRNA
Rfam family: Bacterial small subunit ribosomal RNA
Source: RNAcentral